GCUUUGGUGGUUUAGUGGUAGAAUCCUUGCAUUCCAUUCAGGAGACGUGGGUUCGAUUCCCAACCAAUGCA
Molecule: transfer RNA, 71 nt
Filed under: Loxodonta africana (African savanna elephant)
Lineage: Eukaryota; Metazoa; Chordata; Mammalia; Proboscidea; Elephantidae
Rfam family: tRNA
About the family: Transfer RNA (tRNA) molecules are approximately 80 nucleotides in length. Their secondary structure includes four short double-helical elements and three loops (D, anti-codon, and T loops). Further hydrogen bonds mediate the characteristic L-shaped molecular structure. tRNAs have two regions of fundamental functional importance: the anti-codon, which is responsible for specific mRNA codon recognition, and the 3' end, to which the tRNAs corresponding amino acid is attached (by aminoacyl-tRNA synthetases). tRNAs cope with the degeneracy of the genetic code in two manners: having more than one tRNA (with a specific anti-codon) for a particular amino acid; and 'wobble' base-pairing, i.e. permitting non-standard base-pairing at the 3rd anti-codon position.
Source: Rfam by way of RNAcentral